GACGGAGGGGGCUAGCGUUGUUCGGAAUUACUGGGCGUAAAGGGCGCGUAGGCGGAUUAGUAAGUUGGGAGUGAAAGCCCGUGGCUUAACCUCGGAACUGCUUUCAAAACUGCUAGUCUUGAGUGAAGUAGGGGAUGAUGAAAUUCCUAGUGUAGAGGUGAAAUUCUUAGAUAUUAGGAGGAACACCGGUGGCGAAGGCGGUCAUCUGGACUUCAACUGACGCUGAGUCGCGAAAGCGUGGGGAGCAAACAGG
Molecule: ribosomal RNA, 253 nt
Filed under: uncultured bacterium
Lineage: Bacteria
Description: partial 16S ribosomal RNA
Rfam family: Bacterial small subunit ribosomal RNA
Source: RNAcentral